This 253-nucleotide ribosomal RNA is filed under the name uncultured bacterium. RNAcentral's name for it is "partial 16S ribosomal RNA". It matches the Rfam family "Bacterial small subunit ribosomal RNA", at positions 524 to 776 of the family's 1533-position model. The record is from RNAcentral.
UACAGAGGUGGCAAGCGUUGUUCGGAAUUACUGGGCGUAAAGGGCGCGUAGGCGGCCUUCUAAGUCAGACGUGAAAUCCCCAGGCUUAACUUGGGAACUGCGUCUGAUACUGGGAGGCUUGAGUGCGGGAGAGGGAUGUGGAAUUCCAGGUGUAGCGGUGAGAUGCGUAGAUAUCUGGAGGAACACCGGUGGCGAAGGCGGCAUCCUGGACCGACACUGACGCUGAGGCGCGAAAGCUAGGGGAGCAAACGGG